UCUGUAGUCUGUCUGUGUGGGGCUGUAGUCUGGAGUCUGUCUGUGUGGGGCUGUAGUCUUGAGUCUGUCUAUGUGGGGCUGUAGUCUGGAGACUGUCUGUGUGGGGCUGUAGUCUGGAGACUGUCUGUGUGGGGCUGUAGUCUUGAGUCUGUCUGUGUGGGGCUGUAGUCUGUAGUCUGUCUGUGUGGGGCUGUAGUCUGGAGACUGUCUGUGUGGGGCUGUAGUCUGGAGACUGUCUGUGUGGGGCUGUAGUCUUGAGUCUGUCUGUGUGGGGCUGUAGUCUGUAGUCUGUCUGUGUGGGGCUGUAGUCUGGAGUCUGUCUAUGUGGGGCUGUAGUCUGGAGACUGUCUGUGUGGGGCUGUAGUCUGGAGUCUGUCUGUGUGGGGCUGUAGUCUGGAGUCUAUCUAUUGCUAUCCAUGUGUAUGUGACCAAAGACAAUUGAUUUGAUUUGAAUAUUGGUUUCUAUCUUUUUCUUUCUCUGUCUUAACUUUUAACACUUGUACAUCCAAAUGAUCUUAUCUUCCACUACCUCCGUGUGGUCGUGUUCACUUUUAAAGGGGAGUACUGAUAUAACAAAUAUGAUGGAAACUCGGUCUAGCCUUGGCUUAAAACCAAGUCAAUACUUGACUGUAAAAUGUAUCAGAAGUGUGAAACAUUCAGGAGAGAAGAAAGACAAAGAGGUAAGAUAAAAGGAGAGUAUUAGUUUGACUGUGUUCAGAUGUGUAGGGUUAAUCUGGAUACAAACUAGAUGUUUGUUUUUUUCACUUGUAGAGGAAAAAGGAAGUGCUACUAGAGCACACAAUAGUAGAUAUUUGUAGAUAGAAGGUGACCUUCGGUAGAGGGGUAUUUGCCAUCAAAAAGAAAGGAGGACCAAGGCACUCCUCAUAUAAUUAAGGCAUGUUCAAUUGAACAAAGAUUUUAAAAACUCUGACGCGUUUUCGACAGCAAAGCCUUUCGUCGGGGAGUGCUUUGAUUUAUUAUUGUUUCAGUGUGGAUUCCAGGCUAGAGUAGGUCCUAUAGAUCCCCAGUAGCAGACUGCUUCCAGUACUAUAAACAGACGCCCUCCAGGAGGUGACCCACAACUAAUAAACACACUCCUCUAAAGGUACACCAUGCUGCUCUGCUCACCAAGCUACAGAACACCAUGCUGCUCUGCUCACCAAGCUACAGAACACCAUGCUGCUCUGCUCACCAAGCUACAGAACACCAUGCUGCUCUGCUCACCAAGCUACAGAACACCAUGCUGCUCUGCUCACCAAGCUACAGAACACCGUGCUGCUCUGCUCACCAAGCUACAGAACACCAUGCUGCUCUGCUCACCAAGCUACAGAACACCGUGCUGCUCUGCUCACCAAGCUACAGAACACCGUGCUGCUCUGCUCACCAAGCUACAGAACACCAUGCUGCUCUGCUCACCAAGCUACAGAACACCAUGCUGCUCUGCUCACCACGCUACAGAACACCGUGCUGCUCUGCUCACCAAGCUACAGAACACCGUGCUGCUCUGCUAACCAAGCUACAGUAACACCGUGCUGCUCUGCUCACCAAGCUACAGAACACCGUGCUGCUCUGCUCACCAAGCUACAGUACACCAUGCUGCUCUGCUCACCAAGCUACAGAACGCCGUGCUGCUCUGCUCACCAAGCUACAGUAACGCCGUGCUGCUCUGCUCACCAAGCUACAGAACACCGUGCUGCUCUGCUCACCAAGCUACAGAACACCAUGCUGCUCUGCUCACCAAGGUACAGAACACCGUGCUGCUCUGCUCACCAAGCGACAGUAAUGCUCCAUUUAAUGUCCAUGUGUCUGUGUGUUUAGGUGUGUCCGUGCACCUAACAGAAGAACAUACAUUAUUGUAUAUACAUUAUUACAUUAUUGCCGAUUGUCUGUUUCAGAUCAUGGGAAUUCAUAUUUUUUCAUUUGAACCCGUUCAGAAACACAGAAACACAACGAGGGGCUGUGGAAUUAUUCCUGAUGAUAUAGGAGAACCAACAAUGUUGUAUAGAUGGUCUCGGCUACAGUAAGAGCUUCAUUUAAUAAGGCUCUGGGAAACUGCAUCAAACCGGAUACCACAAUGGAUUCACCCCUACUACAGCCUCCAUUAUUACCACUAAGUAUGCUCUUCUGUCAAGUAUGGCAGGUGCUAAUGUGUGUCCCAGAGUGGAGAGAGGAGAGGAGAGGAGAG
Molecule: long non-coding RNA, 2185 nt
Organism: Oncorhynchus nerka (sockeye salmon)
Lineage: Eukaryota; Metazoa; Chordata; Actinopteri; Salmoniformes; Salmonidae
Exons: 3
Source: RefSeq, a predicted model, not a curated record